UGAAUUGUAAAUGCUUUAUCCCUGUUCGGGGAUUAUUGAAAGUUUUGUCUUGCCUUUUCUUAUCCUCCAUUGUAGUUUUUCUUUAACUGUCAGUGAAGAUAUCCGUACUUAAAGCCAGCUUAAUCCUCGAACAAGUUGGUGUGAAUGGAUUCAAAUGUUGACAUUUCUGAUGAAGAUUGAAAGCUAUGUGAGUAAUUUAUCUAUUAUCUCCUUAAUUAUCCUUUGCUGGAGUGAUGCAUUCAGUUUGAAUUUAAACAGGAAAAAUACAUUAACUAACUAGAAAAGGUGAGUGAGUGCUUCUAUAGAAAGGCAAAUGAUAUGACGGUGACAUUUUUAUAAUUAGCCGCAUCUUAUUGGGUUCUUUGUUUCAAAGUGAUAGGCUAUCCUCUUUUGGCCCCAGAUUUUAGUUUUCCACCCCA
This 419-nucleotide long non-coding RNA is filed under the name Actinidia chinensis (golden kiwifruit). RNAcentral describes it as "long non-coding RNA (ACHI_LNC002711)". The record is from RNAcentral. Lineage: Eukaryota; Viridiplantae; Streptophyta; Magnoliopsida; Ericales; Actinidiaceae.